This 406-nucleotide ribosomal RNA is filed under the name uncultured bacterium. RNAcentral's name for it is "partial 16S ribosomal RNA". It matches the Rfam family "Bacterial small subunit ribosomal RNA", at positions 30 to 526 of the family's 1533-position model. The record is from RNAcentral.
AUUGAACGCUGGCGGCAGGCCUAACACAUGCAAGUCGAGCGAGCGGCGGACGGGUGAGUAAUGUAUGGGGAUCUGCCCGCUAGAGGGGGAUAACUACUGCAAACGGUGGCUAAUACCGCAUACUAUCGCUUGAACCUAUACGGGAUUAGCUAGUAGGGGGGGUAAAGGAUAACCAAGGCGACGAUCUCUAGCUGAUCUGAGAGGAUGAUUGGACACACUGAGAGUGAGAAACGGCCCAGACUCCUACGGGAGGCAGCAGAGGGGAAUCGUGGACAAUGGGCGAAAGCCUGAUGCAGCCAUGCCGCGUGUAUGAAGAAGGCCUUCGGAUUGUAAAGUACUGUCAGUCGAGAGGCGUUACCGACAGAGGAAGCAACGGCUAACUACGUGCAAGCAGCCGCGGUAAUUC